GGACCCGACUGCUAUCGGAUUGGGACUAAGCCAUGCGAGUCAACUCCGCAAGGGGUGGCGCACGGCUCAGUAACACGUAGUCAACCUACCCUAGGGACGGGGAUAACCUCGGGAAACUGAGGCUAAACCCUGAUAGGCUAUAACUUCUGGAAUGGGUUAUAGCUGAAAUCUAUAUGGCCCUAGGAUGGGACUGCGGCCGAUCAGGUUGUUGGUGGGGUAAUGGCCCACCAAGCCUAUAACCGGUGCGGGCUCUGAGAGGAGGAGCCCGGAGAUGGGCACUGAGACAAGGGCCCAGGUCCUAUGGGGCGCAGCAGGCGCGAAACCUCCGCAAUGGGCGAAAGCCCGACGGGGUUAGUCCGAGUGACUCCUGCUAAAGGAGUCUUUUGCCAGCUGUAAAAAGGCUGGAGAAUAAGGGGUGGGCAAGUUUGGUGUCAGCCGCCGCGGUAAUACCAGCACCCCGAGUAGUCGGGACGAUUAUUGGGCCUAAAGCAUCCGUAGCCGGUCUAACAAGUCCUCCGUUAAAUCCAACGGCUCAACCGUUGGGCUGCGAGGGAUACUGUUAGACUAGGGGGCGGGAGAGGCGAGGGGUAUUCCCAGGGUAGGGGUAAAAUCCACUGAUCCUGGGAGGACCACCAGUGGCGAAGCGCCUCGCUAGAACGCGCCCGACGGUGAGGGAUGAAAGCUAGGGGA
This 690-nucleotide ribosomal RNA is filed under the name uncultured crenarchaeote. RNAcentral's name for it is "bacterial SSU rRNA". It matches the Rfam family "Archaeal small subunit ribosomal RNA", at positions 19 to 718 of the family's 1478-position model. Lineage: Archaea; Thermoproteati; Thermoproteota. The record is from RNAcentral.